AUAUGGCGCGAUUGUUUUGAUUAUUUGUGAUCACAUCUUUUGUUUUUUAAGUUUUUGAACAAGAAUUAAGCAGCCCGGAGCUUAAAAUGAAUAAUAGAUUUGUUCGGGUUUGGGAGCCAUCGCAACCUGAAGCAAUUGAAAGAAGACCAUCUGUGUCCCAUGAAAACCUUCGAAUAUUUGAUAAAUCCUGCUGGGACAUCUCACAAAGUCCCACAAACAAGAUCCUGACGGGCAACAAAGCCCUGGACACUCAUUUUGGAGGUGGAAUAUCCUUGGGUCACCUGGUCGAACUGAUUGGCAAUUCGGGCACUGGAAAAACGCAAAUGUGCUUGCAACUUUGCCUAAAUGUACAAAUUCCCAAGGCAGCUGGCGGAUUGGAGGGCAGUGCAUUAUUUAUAGACACUCGACAGGAUUUCCAUCCUGACAGAUUAAUGGGCCUAGCUCUGAAACUGGAAAGGCAGUAUGCACAUAGAGUUCCAGAAUUUAAGGAUCACAAAAUGCUUCAGAAAAUCCAUUAUGUAAGGUGCCCCAAACUGGAUCAAUUAAUGGCCACUGUGCUCAGUUGCCACAGGCAUCUCGUGGAUCAUCCCGAUAUUAAGCUGAUUGUAAUCGACUCCCUGGCUUUUACUCUGCGAAUGCUUGAGGAUGGCGCCCAUCGUUACGAGCUGCUCCUGGAACUGCAUGAAAGCAUGCGGAGAUUGCAACGUCAACACGAAUUGGCCUGGGUCUUCACCAAUGUGCUCACGCAUCGCUACGUCAAGCAAAAGUUCCAAGUGGAGCCCGCCUUGGGGGAUCUGCAUUCGCACUUGAUCAACGAGCGCAUCUGGUUUACGGGCAGCUCUGAGCUUCACCUGGGCAAGUCGUGGCGAACGAGUAGAUUAAUUAAGGAAUCCGAAUGAGGCUGCAUCACUUUUACUUUGUGCCGAGCUUAAGCAUUAGUUAAAAACAGCAAAAGAUUAGAAUCGAAGCAUUAGCACAGGAAAGAGGAGCAGCAGCAGCAUUGGCAAACGGCAUCCUCAACCACUUGCCAUGAUGCGCUGUGGCACAGAAAACGGAUCCGCAACUAGCGCACACCCAGCCAGCUGCUGAGCACUUGCUAAAAGCUCCACCGGUCACCUCCACUCCACGAGGAGCCCGAUGCCUAUCGAUGGCGCAGCUCCAGAUUGACAGGCGAGCAACGCCUGAUUUAUGCGCGCGGCGCAGGAAUGUGGCAAAGUGUAAAAAGUGUUUACACAUACGAACGGCGACACCCAAACCAGACUGCCGAUCUCUAGCCCGCGGCCUUUUAUUAUACACUGGAAAAAGUAAAGUAUCUCUUUCUAGAUGAAUAUUUGAAUGAUUCAUUUGGUAACAUUUCAUGUCAUUUACAAUAUAUAUGUUUAACUUUGGCUGUGUACAGUGCAAUGCUCACUUUUGGAAAAGUAGAACCAAAUACUUGCAUACGUUAUUUUUUCCAGUGCACUCCUUAGGCGAACAUGGAGCUCCGGGCAGCAGCUAGUCACGCAUAUGCAGCGACAACUAAUUCAAUUUCCACUUGCCAUAAGGAGGCGGCUGUUUAGCCGAGUGUGCACGCCUAAUUGGUAAUGCGAUCGGCUUUAUUGAGGCGCUGGAGUCGAAGCAGCACUUGUGGCUAUAGCUCUACCCAUAUGGCUUAGUCUCUGGAUCGGAAUCGGUGGAUGUGACUGGGCCUGGUGCUCACUGCCUGGCGGAGUUCGCUGGUGCAGUCACAGGCUAUCGCUGUCGCUCAGCGCAAAUCCCAUUACGUGCGAUCCGUUUCGAGCCAUAAACAUGUAACAGCUGCAGAGCCGAGCUCCCCUCCCAGUUUCCACCGAUCCCACCCGAUCCUAGCCGAGUUUCCUGGCUUCCAGCGGCGCAACUUGUCGCUCGAACUUAAUUGCCUCGGUUGCGCUUAUGACUUUCGUGUGCAAUGCAUCCUCAUCCACAUCCACAUCGCCGCUCUGUGACUGCAGCAUUAGAAAGUAACUCCAGCCGGCGGAUAGCUAUAGCUAUCAACAUCGGGCUCGCAUCGUCUUCGUCGUCAUCGCGGAGAUGCUGGCGCUAUUUUCGACACCGCCUGGCCCGCCAUAAAUUUCCAACUGCCCUGUAAUGCACUUGCACCUCAAAAACUAGAAAUAGUCUGACUGAGCCGGUGGCACCGAAAAAAGUUUCCGAGAUGAUCGGAAAAAGAUUUUGGUAUCAGUAAAAAAACACUACAGAUUCAGAUUUGGUAUAGAUUUUAUUUUGGAAUCAUUAAAAGGCAAUGUUAAGUUUGGUCUUUGUAUCAUUGUAUUUUUUAUAUUCGUUUCUGGUAAAUCGU
This is an RNA transcript of Drosophila mauritiana, 2317 nucleotides long. It is a transcript of the gene named DNA repair protein RAD51 homolog 3, with no coding region annotated. The record is from RefSeq and is a predicted model, not a curated record. Lineage: Eukaryota; Metazoa; Arthropoda; Insecta; Diptera; Drosophilidae. The transcript has 7 exons.